Molecule: ribosomal RNA, 329 nt
Filed under: uncultured eukaryote
Lineage: Eukaryota
Description: partial 18S ribosomal RNA
Rfam family: Eukaryotic small subunit ribosomal RNA
Source: RNAcentral
CCCUUAGAUGUUCUGGGCCACACGCGCGCUACACUGACACGUUCAUCAAGUCUAUAACCUUGACCGAGAGGUCUGGGUAAUCUUUUAAAAACGUGUCGUGCUGGGGAUAGAUUAUUGCAAUUAUUAAUCUUCAACGAGGAAUUCCUAGUAAACGCAAGUCAUCAACUUGCAUUGAUUACGUCCCUGCCCUUUGUACACACCGCCCGUCGCUACUACCGAUUGAAUGAUUUAGUGAGUACCAGGGACCGAGCGCUUUGGUUGGGUUUCCUUCCCUAGCGCUUGGGAACUGUCGCAAACUUGACCAUUUAGAGGAAGUAAAAGUCGUAACA